AAUUAAAUAUUUUAAAGAUGUUUUAGUUAUAGUAAUGGGGAAGAAAAAAAAAGAUGCACUAUUGUCAGGUAAUAUGAUUUUAUGCCACUUUUAAUCAAGGAGUAACCUUAUGUUUGUUUUUGUAUUUAUAUAAAAUUAUGUGAAGUGAUGACACAAAAUUAUGCAAUUUUAGCCAUGUGUGACCAUGUGUAUAUACACACACAUACAAAUAUGCAGAAAUCUAAAGUAAAAUUUUUGAAUUCCAUUUUUUACCUUUUAGAUAAAUUAUAAAUAUUUAAGUUAUAUUCCAUUUCUGAAUUUGUUAGAUAAAAUAUAUAUUUUUGCAUAAAACACUUUUUUUUGCAUUAAGAUUGUGUCACUUUCUUGAGAGAAAACCACUACAGCUUCAAAUUGUAUGUGGAAGGGUCUUUUGAAAAGUACCUGGAAAGGUUGGGACAUUCACAGGAAAGUGCUGGACAGCUGGAAUUAAGAACAUUUAUAAGGGCCAUCUUGAUUGCCAUAUAUACCAUCAUCCACCAUGCAGAAGGCUAGAAGGAGACCCUGGGACCCAAACUUCUGCCCAAGGUCUUACUUGAUCUUCUUGGAAAUUGCUCUGAAAAUGAGAUUAAGUUCAAUUCAACAAGUAUCAGAUGCCUACUAUGUACAAGAAACUGAGUGCUGAGCAAAGGCAGAUAACAAUAAAACGCUCCCUGCUCUAAAGAUUUGCAGCUGAAUGGGACAGUAAAUGUCAAGAUCAAUCCUUUCAUUUAUACAUGAGGAAGGCUCAGAAAAAUUAAAUGACUUCCUCCUCAAACCAGUAAGUAGCAAAGCAAAU
This 814-nucleotide long non-coding RNA is filed under the name Monodelphis domestica (gray short-tailed opossum). Its description in RNAcentral is "lncRNA (ENSMODG00000034789.2)". The record is from RNAcentral. Lineage: Eukaryota; Metazoa; Chordata; Mammalia; Didelphimorphia; Didelphidae.